GCAAUCAGGUUCGGUUGAGAGUGUAGAGCUUUUCCACGUCAGUGUGUUUACUAAGAGCAGAGUGACAGCUGGAAGGUGUACACUUUACUGACCUGUCGAGCAUUUUUAAGUGAAUGAAGAGGCGGUGUUUGGGAAUAUUUCGGUAUCGCACAGUGGAAUGUCCGACGUUUUUGCUUUGUUUCAUUGUGGCGCCUGAACUGAACUCUGGUCUUUUUCAUUCACUCUUGGCCGGCUAGCCUACUAGCUUACCGAGCAAGGCUAGCAUUAGCUAUAGAAGGACUUCAUCUGUGAUACAACCGCCGUAGACAGGAAGCAGCAUGGUGGAUAAGAACAUCUACAUUGUCCAGGGUGAAAUUAGCACUGUUGUUGGAGCCAUAAAGAGGAACUCCAGAUGGAAUACCCACACUCCACUAGACGAAGAACAAGACCCAUUACUCAACAGCUUUGGCAAUCUCAAGGACAUACUGAACACCAUAAAAGGUACGUGGCCUUAUUCAGGCUGU
This is a long non-coding RNA of Oreochromis niloticus (Nile tilapia), 503 nucleotides long. RefSeq lists it as uncharacterized. The record is from RefSeq and is a predicted model, not a curated record. The transcript has 3 exons. Lineage: Eukaryota; Metazoa; Chordata; Actinopteri; Cichliformes; Cichlidae.